AGCAGCCGCGGUAAUUCCAGCUCCAAUAGCGUAUAUUAAAGUUGUUGCAGUUAAAAAGCUCGUAGUUGAAUUUCGGGACUAAUAUGUCGGUCGUACUUUGUACGUACUAGCAUUAUUGGUUUCUCCCUUCUGACGAACCACGAUGUCAUUAAUUUGGUGUCAUGGGAAAUCAGGACUGUUACUUUGAAAAAAUUAGAGUGUUUAAAGCAAGCUCGCGCUUGAAUACAUUAGCAUGGAAUAAUGAAAUAGGACGUUUGAUUCUAUUUUGUUGGUUUCUAGGAUCGACGUAAUGAUUAAUAGGGAUAGUUGGGGGCAUUAGUAUUCAAUUGUCAGAGGUGAAAUUCUUGGAUUUAUUGAAGACUAACUACUGCGAAAGCAUUUGCCAAGGAUGUUUUCGUUAAUCAAGAACGAAAGUUAGGGGAUCGAAGACGAUCAGAUACCGUCGUAGUCUUAACCAUAAACUAUGCCGACUAGGGAUCGGAUGAUGUUAAUUUUUAAUGUACUCA
RNAcentral lists this ribosomal RNA (506 nucleotides) under uncultured Glomus. RNAcentral's name for it is "SSU rRNA". It matches the Rfam family "Eukaryotic small subunit ribosomal RNA", at positions 569 to 1078 of the family's 1831-position model. Lineage: Eukaryota; Fungi; Glomeromycota; Glomeromycetes; Glomerales; Glomeraceae. The record is from RNAcentral.